GCUGCCCCAGCUGAUUUGCUCCAUCCAUGCCCGUCGCGCUGUUAUCUGCUGCUCACAGCUCACUCGUUGCCCGUAGCAUGGACUGGGGCAACUUGGUAGCGACCACACCUGGACCUAGUCCUGACGCGUUCAGGAUCGCUUUGUCGAAAAAGUUCUCCUCCCUCACAGGAUCGAUCGUCCUUGACGCGACACCGAGAGGUUGCUCGACGGCCUUAACUUGCAUCCGUGUGGAAGGCUUCAAUUCAGGCUUAUCAUCAGUGGAUCUUGACUCGAUCCGCGCUCUUCCGGCAGGUCCUCUUUCUUUCAGGGUGUCGGAGACCACUUGAGCCUAGAGGACCUUUUCCGUGGCGGUAGGCGGCGGCGGCGUCGUCGUCGUCGUCGCUCGUAGAGCUAGAGCCGUGUGCUUUUCUGGCCUGACACCGACAUGGCGACAUUGCUUCCUCGCAUAGCUGCUACUCCCCUACAGCCUUCCUUCCUCUCGGGGGUCACGCGUGAAUUCGUGCGUGUGCUGAGGAAGAUCGGCGAGGCAACGCUACAGCCGGCGCGGCCAAAGAUGAUCACGAGCGCGACGCGACCUUCGGGAUCGGAGACGAGGGAGGGGAGAGCUCCGAGCUGGUACGGGUGGCAGGGCAGGGCAAACCGUAUCGGGCCACACAAUCUACGCGGCGGCAGGGACAGGAUAGCUCUGUCUGUUGCCGGUGGGUGGGCCGUGCGGUGCCGCCGCGCCCGCGCCACACACCUGGCUGGCGCCGAGACCGCCAUGGAGCAGCAAGAUCCUAUCUUUUCUCCCCCGCAAUCUUUAACCCGCGAGGGAAUAUCGGCGACAUGAUCGUCCGGCUCCGAUCAUGUCAUGUGUCGCACACAUGAAGCUGCCGGCCGGACGAUCGAGCACGGGAAGGCGGUUUCUCAAAGCCUGAACUUUUGGUCCGGGGCGAGAGACGAUCAGACGAGAGAGGUCCCCUGUAGUUCACGCAUCCCGGAUUCCCGCGUCUCGUGUCGGCCCCCGUCGCGGGCCAAGCAAGGAAGCCUAAAGAAAACUGCCCGAGAACAUGCGGAGCAGGCGCACCCGCCGUCCGCCCUGCCGGUGGUGCGACAGGUGGAACCGAUCCCCCCAGCUACAAGCCCAUCCCCGCCGCCGCCUGCGGCGUCGGUUCACGCGCCGGGAGUGGGCGUUCCCACUCCCCCCGGUUCGUCCCCGGUGACGCGGUGCGCCGACCCGUCCUCGAUCGCAGGCAGCACGGAGCCUACUCCUCCUCCCCAACAGCAACACCCCAACCACUACGACAAGUUUGGCCAAAAGCUGGCGCCGCCCGCCCGCCCGGCUUCCUACAGGCUCCUCCUCUCGCGUUUGCGCCGCGCGCGUACGUACGCCGGGAGAGGGAAACCGGCAUGCCCACCGCGCCCCGCUCCCGGCACAUGCGAGGAAAAGAAAAGGCACGGCGUGUCCCAUGGGGCUUGUCCGGACGUGGAGAGGCCACCCGCCGCUCGCUGCGCGCCGACGCGACGCGCGCCGCUGCGGGGCCACGCCCGCGCGCAUAUGCUUUUUGGCGGCCCCGCCGGGCCUGGGAAUAUUUGGCCCGGCGCCGCAUGCGGCCGUGCAGGAGGAGGUCUGGGACUGGCCGCCGCUACCUAACAUUCUGCACCAGCUGUUCUCCGACCGCCGCGCGGCGCCGGCCGGCCGGCCGGCGGAUCUCGCCCAACGACCGGAGACUGUUCCCGACUGGUCAGGCAACAGGACGGAGCUCCCAUUCCAUACCAGGCAAUCAUAGGACGCGCUACAUGCAGCGCGCCUGGUGUUCCCAGUUACCGCAAUUGGGAUGGCUCCUGAGAGCCCUCGCUGUCCUUUUCUGAGGAGGUUCGGUUGCUACUUCUCUGUAAAGGGAUAUCAUAUAGGAUAUUUUGUUGCUAAACUAAUGUACGGCUGCUGGAAUAUUUUUAAAUUCUAAUUGCAAAUCUAGCGACACAGUUUUCGUAUCUCGGAUGUCAUUUGAGGCUUCAAGCAUAUCGGAAAGGUCAGAUCCAGAAAGCCUGGUAGCAUGGGCUCUGCUUCUGCGAGGGCAUCAAGUAAGCAGAGCAGGGUCGCAAGGCCUGCAUAAUGUGAUCUGCAUCUGAAGUGUACUGUACUACGUGAUUCUCCCAUUAUUCUAGGUGUCAAUUAUAAGGGGUGCAUGCGCUCAUCUACUUAUCUCGAGACCGCAUGGACAGUCUCGUCUCGUCCGGGCAGCUCGACGGCCCGAGUUCAACGUCUGAAGAAGUUCCGUACGCCGGGGGCCUUUCCUAUAGCGAAAAAAUGAGUGGGCCACGACCAACCAAGGCACCGACGGUUAUCUAACCCCCCUUGGGGUCGGGCUGGACACGGGGGGCGAUGCGACGGGAGCAGGCUGAGCACCCUUGCGAACCCGGCAAGCCGUGCCGGUGAUUGUUAAUAAUCUUCGUCGCGUCUAAACAACCAUAUCCCCGCAGGCAUCAGGAUGGCGAUCUAAUCUUAAGCUUUUGCCUGCUGGCAAUGGCUGCAGUGGCUAUCAUCAACGGAAAAAGAAGAUAGAUGUGAAUAGUGGACUGUCAGAGAAACUCAGGGCACAGGCGUCGCUGUGCCGGUGUGCCCGAGGAAGAAGAAGAAGAGGGCAGAGCGGAGGUGGAGGAGCUACAGGGUCAUGGCGGCAACCGUCGUGUCCAUCGAGGCAGGCUGCAGGCCUCGCUGGCCGGUGAUAUUCCAGUGAAGCUAAAGCUUCUACGGAUGGGUUGGUUUGAGCAGCUCUGGUUUCUUUUGAUUAUGCUCCGGUUUAAGUACGAACAAAAAGGGCAAAAAGAAAGGGAAGCUUAACUGCUACCGCCCGGUGCCGCCACCGCCACGCAUCAUGAUUGCUCAUGAACAUGCGCGGUCGGCACCAAGAACGCAUCGGAGGAUCGAUUAAACGGCAGAGAAUUAAAACGAAAGGUUUGGCAGUCAGUAGCAUAUCAGGAAGAGAAUUAGGAGAUAGAUAGCAGACGGAGGAUGGGAGUGUU
Molecule: long non-coding RNA, 3006 nt
Organism: Panicum hallii
Lineage: Eukaryota; Viridiplantae; Streptophyta; Magnoliopsida; Poales; Poaceae
Exons: 3
Source: RefSeq, a predicted model, not a curated record